This 375-nucleotide ribosomal RNA is filed under the name uncultured organism. RNAcentral describes it as "partial 16S ribosomal RNA". It matches the Rfam family "Bacterial small subunit ribosomal RNA", at positions 527 to 896 of the family's 1533-position model. The record is from RNAcentral.
GUAGGUGGCAAGCGUUGUCCGGAAUUAUUGGGCGUAAAGCGCGCGCAGGCGGUUCUUUAAGUCUGAUGUGAAAGCCCACGGCUCAACCGUGGAGGGUCAUUGGAAACUGGAGAACUUGAGUACAGAAGAGGAAAGCGGAAUUCCACGUGUAGCGGUGAAAUGCGUAGAGAUGUGGAGGAACACCAGUGGCGAAGGCGGCUUUCUGGUCUGUAACUGACGCUGAGGCGCGAAAGCGUGGGGGAGCAAACAGGAUUAGAUACCCUGGUAGUCCACGCCGUAAACGAUGAGUGCUAAGUGAUAGGGGGUUUCCGCCCCCCCCUUAGUGCUGCAGCUAACGCAUUAAGCACUCCGCCUGGGAGUACGGCCGCAAGGCUG